RNAcentral lists this ribosomal RNA (472 nucleotides) under uncultured soil bacterium. RNAcentral's name for it is "bacterial SSU rRNA". It matches the Rfam family "Bacterial small subunit ribosomal RNA", at positions 26 to 521 of the family's 1533-position model. The record is from RNAcentral.
AGGACGAACGCUGGCGGCGUGCUUAACACAUGCAAGUCGAGCGACGCACCACUUCGGUGGUGACGGAGCGGCGAACGGGUGAGUAACACGUGGGCAACCUGCCCCUAGCUCUGGGACAACACCGGGAAACCGGUGCUAAUACCGGAUACGACACCGAGCGGCAUCGCUUCGGUGUGGAAAGUUUUUCGGCUAGGGAUGGGCCCGCGGCCUAUCAGCUUGUUGGUGGGGUAAUGGCCCACCAAGGCGACGACGGGUAGCCGGCCUGAGAGGGCGACCGGCCACGACUGGGACUGAGACACGGCCCAGACUCCUACGGAGGCAGCAGUGGGGAAUAUGCGCAAUGGGCGAAAGCCUGACGCAGCGACGCCGCGUGAGGGAUGAAGGCCUUCGGUUGUAAACCUCUUUCAGCAGGGACGAAAUCAGACGGUACCUGCAGAAGAAGCGACCGCCAACUACGUGCCAGCAGCCCGAC